UUGUUUCUUUAUUUUUGUGUUUUGUUUUAUUUUGUUGAGUCUUAGGUGCCUUCUAACGUGUCUAGGAUGAAUUUAUGAUCUUUGAUUGAUUAGUUAUUGAGAUGAGCAUGAUUUCGAAUAUUUGAGAUUAUAUGUUAUUUGAUGGUUAAUAGAUAUGUUGAAAUUGUACGAACUUGUAGUAGAUGAGGACCAUUGAAAUUUAGGUACAGAAUGAGCAUGUUCCUUACUUGUUUGAUUUCAUGUAACCCUUGUGAGACUUUCGAGCCAUAUAUAUGUGCCUUUUCUUUGGAGAGUUUACUCUAUCUAUUCUUUGAUAUAUAUGACCUCAUAUACAUUACUUGAUCAAUUUAUAUGCCAUAGAGAUUCAAUGAACUAGAGAUUGCUAGAACUUGCUUGUGAAACUUUCAAAACUUUUUAUCAUAACUUACUUUGAUUUCGAAUAGGAUUGUGGAUCUUUCUUAGGACUAUCACCACUUUAUCCAAAUAGCCAUAUAUCCCUAUUUUGAGCCCUGUUUGGGACCCCUUUAGUCUGAACCCUCUAGAGCCUACGUUAUGCCUUUCUUGUUAACCUAAAUUAUCCCUUGCCUAGUAUAGAAUUCCUCUACCUUGUCUCGAGCUUGGCAGAGCUAUCUUUUUGUGGUGAUUUGAGAUGAUGAUUCAAUACAAGUGUGGGGUUGUUCUAAGGAGUUUGUUGCCGAGAUACACAUGAGAAAAGACAAAAAUUUGCUCUCGGAAUUAGAAAAAAAAAAAAAGCAUGAUCCGAGUAAAGAAAAAAAAAAAAAAAAAAA
Molecule: long non-coding RNA, 788 nt
Filed under: Fragaria vesca (wild strawberry)
Lineage: Eukaryota; Viridiplantae; Streptophyta; Magnoliopsida; Rosales; Rosaceae
Description: long non-coding RNA (FVES_LNC004972)
Source: RNAcentral